RNAcentral lists this long non-coding RNA (1800 nucleotides) under Salmo salar (Atlantic salmon). RNAcentral's name for it is "lncRNA (ENSSSAG00000115161.1)". Lineage: Eukaryota; Metazoa; Chordata; Actinopteri; Salmoniformes; Salmonidae. The record is from RNAcentral.
CCACACAGUUACAUGUCUUUGUUUGGGUGCUAGCGUUGACCAAUCAGAGAGGCUGUAGACUGUAGUAGGUGUUUUACUGUCUGCAGGGCUUCUUGUGUCUAUGGAGGAGAGGAGAGUGAAAUAAAACAGGUAAUUUAACACAUUUUUGGGUGCCAAUGCUAAGUCUAUCUGCACGUGAGGGACUGUCACUAAACCGGCCUUGUUCUCAUUUAGACGGACGUGUCUGAUUGAAAUCUGUAGUGAAUCCUUUCAGGCUGGCGUGAUUGGCUCAUAGCACAGAUUCCAGCCUCAUACACACCAAUAUGUUUCUGUGCUUCUAUGAAGGCAAAACCCGUGACAGAUUUUUAUUUCUGUACAAAGCCUGUUAUAGAUUUUAUUCCAUACGUCCUGUAAAUUAGUGUUUCAUGGUUCAUUACUUCAGUUUACAGCAGAAAUGUUGUUGUUUGGCGUUCAUAUGUACUGUAGACCGAGGCUUGAUGGAUGGGAUUAGGAUGUACUGUAGACCGUGACUGGAUGGAUGGGAUUAGGAUGUACUGUAGUCCGAGGCUGGAUGGAUGGGAUUAGGAUGUACUGUAGACCGUGACUGGAUGGAUGGGAUUAGGAUGUACUGUAGACCGAGGCUGGAUGGAUGGAUGGGAUUAGGAUGUAAUGUAGACCGAGGCUGGAUGGAUGGGGUUAGGAUGUACUGUAGAACGAGGCUGGAUGGAUGGAUGGGAUUAGGAUGUACUGUAGACCGAGGCUGGAUGGAUGGAUGGAUGGGAUUAGGAUGUACUGUAGACCGAGGCUGGAUGGAUGGGGUUAGGAUGUACUGUAGACCGAGGCUGGAUGGAUGGGAUUAGGAUGUACUGUAGACCGUGACUGGAUGGAUGGAUGGGAUUAGGAUGUACUGUAGACCGAGGCUGGAUGGAUGGAUGGGAUUAGGAUGUACUGUAGACCGAGGCUGGAUGGAUGGAUGGGAUUAGGAUGUACUGUAGACCGAGGCUGGAUGGAUGGAUGGGGUUAGGAUGUACUGUAGCCCGAGGCUGGAUGGAUGGGAUUAGGAUGUACUGUAGACCGAGGCUGGAUGGAUGGGAUUAGGAUGUACUGUAGACCCGUGACUGGAUGGAUGGAUGGGAUUAGGAUGUACUGUAGACCGAGGCUGGAUGGAUGGAUGGAUGGGAUUAGGAUGUACUGUAGACCGAGGCUGGAUGGAUGGAUGGGAUUAGGAUGUACUGUAGACCGUGACUGGAUGGAUGGAUGGGAUUAGGAUGUACUGUAGACCGAGGCUGGAUGGAUGGGAUUAGGAUGUAUUGUAGACCGUGACUGGAUGGAUGGAUGGGAUUAGGAUGUACUGUAGACCGAGGCUGGAUGGAUGGAUGGGAUUAGGAUGUACUGUAGACCGAGGCUGGAUGGAUGGAUGGGAUUAGGAUGUACUGUAGACCGUGACUGGAUGGAUGGAUGGGAUUAGGAUGUACUGUAGACCGAGGCUGGAUGGAUGGGAUUACGAUGUACUGUAGACCGAGGCUGGGUGUUUAUACUUGGGGUGAAUUUGAAUGUUGUUUACAUCAUAAAAUGAUUACUUGUCUUCUUUGUUAGUUUUUUUUAUACAUAAACUAAGGAGGUAUUUUGACCUCAGUGGGACAUCCUGGUUCAAAAAGGUCGAGAUCAUCUCCAACUCUGAAACAUUUUUCGUUUUUCGAAGUUCAUCCUCAGAAUCAGAGGUUACUGUUAAAAAUGACAGACUAUAGUCAAUAAACAAAUUAGUCAUGUAUUCAUUUGGCCAGGUGUUGACAGCAUGGUUCCAAAGUGCAGAGGUUACCG